GAAGGUGUAUCUAGAAAGACAAAUUAGAGCUUGAAAAGUAAAGCAUUUCAUUUACAUUGAAAAGUAUAUUGUGUAAUUCAAUUUAAUUUGAUAAUAAAAAUUUAUUAAUUUUUUUUUGUUUAAAAAUUUAUUUAAUAAAAUUAAUUUUAAAUUAAGUUUUUUUUGUAUAAUAUAUAGAUCAAAUAAUUUAUAUAAUAGUUAAUUAGUAUUGUAAAAGAGUAUUGAAAUAUUUGAAAAAGUUUUAAAUUAAAAGUAGAUUUUAUAUAUUGUACCUUGUGUAUCAGGGUUUAUUAAUUAAAAGUUAAAAAUAUUUAAUUUUUCUCGAAUUUAAGAGGGUUAAUUUAUUAUUUAAUUUUUUGUUUCAUAAAAAUUUAAAAUAAUAAAUUAGAAAUGAAAUGUUAUUCGUUCUUAAAGAUAUCUAGUUUUUUAAGAAAUAAAUUAAAUUUAGAUUAUUAAUAAAUAAUUGUUUAUUUAAAUAAUAAAUUAUUAUUAAUAAUUAAUAUUUUAAGGGAUAAGCUUUAAAGUAAGUUUUAUAAUAAUUUUUUAAUUUAAAAAUUAUAGAUUUAGAAAUAGUCAUUAAUUAUAAAAAUGUUAUAAUUUAUUUUAAAUUAAAAAUAAUUUUUAUUAAUUUAAGUUUUUAUUAAAAUAAUUUUUAAAAUUAUAUAAAAAUUAAAAUAAUGAUAAAAUUAGUAUAUUUUAAUUGUUUAAAAUAAAUAAAUUGAAAGGUUAAAUUAAGGAACUUGGCAAAUAAAUACUCGCCUGUUUAACAAAAACAUGUCUUUUUGAAUAUAAUUUAAAGUCUAAUCUGCCCACUGAAAAAUUUUAAAGGGCCGCGGUAUU
This 840-nucleotide ribosomal RNA is filed under the name Panorpodes paradoxus. RNAcentral describes it as "partial 16S rRNA". Lineage: Eukaryota; Metazoa; Arthropoda; Insecta; Mecoptera; Panorpodidae. The record is from RNAcentral.